This is a non-coding RNA of Jatropha curcas, 614 nucleotides long. NCBI's taxonomy places the organism in Eukaryota, Viridiplantae, Streptophyta, Magnoliopsida, Malpighiales, Euphorbiaceae. The record is from RefSeq and is a predicted model, not a curated record.
UGGGAAACUGCUCCAAUGUUUCUUCGAAGAAAUUUCAAGUCAAAUUCCUUGAUGUUAUGGUUGUCAAUGAGUAUCUCACCUGGAGUUUUGUGCAUUUGAUUAGCCUCAUAAGAGAUUCAAGCCAAUUAUAGGUGGCUCCAAUCACCAGAAUCAUUGGAACAACUAACAGGGUAACUAAUGCCACUUCCCAAGAGCAUAUAGCUGCAAUCAAUAUUCCAGAGAAAAAUGCUGCAAAGCUCGACAAGAAAUGGCCCAACUACCAAUGACAAACUAGUAUCGAAAGCCCCAAUCUCCUGGCUAAGGACAGCUUCCAUGAAGGCUAAUCUUAACCGUGCUAAUUGUCUUUCGCUUGCAUACAUCCAGCACCCAAUCUCUGCAAUUUCCAAAUUUCUUUGCAGGUGCAGCAGGUUUGCAAGGUGUUGCUGUGUAGGAUUUUAGGGACAGUUGGAAAUUGGAAUCAUUAAUGAUGAACAUUCUUAAUUUUGUUUCCUGAAGGACAAAUGAAAAAUCUGAACAAAAGUGCGGCAUGUUUGUUUCAAUCUAGUACCAGUAGUAGGUUCUGGCAUUUGUUCAUAUAAUCUCACUAAAGAGAAAGUAAUUUUGUUUCCUCAGUA